GGUGAACACAAAGGAAAAAUUAGAGGUGACUCAUUCUAUUGAGUUAAAAAGCAAUGGAUUUUUGACUAAAACCUUUGCAGCAGUCAGAAGUAGAAGAGCAACAAAGGGACCAAAGGCAUUAGAACUGGCUGAGAAAGGAGGACAUCAACAAAGUAAGUCAAUGAAUGCUUCACAAAUCGGUCUGUGUACUUAUACAAUGAGGAAAUUCUUAUUAGUUAAAGGAAUUCCUACAGUCUAUGUCAGUAACAGCAAGCUGAUUAAUUUAAAUCUGAUUGAAAACCUGAUUGAAGAUAUAGAAAGAUAUAGAAAGAUAUAGAAAAC
Molecule: long non-coding RNA, 321 nt
Filed under: Chinchilla lanigera (long-tailed chinchilla)
Lineage: Eukaryota; Metazoa; Chordata; Mammalia; Rodentia; Chinchillidae
Description: lncRNA (ENSCLAG00000022861.1)
Source: RNAcentral